Long non-coding RNA from Mesocricetus auratus (golden hamster), 2684 nucleotides. RefSeq lists it as uncharacterized. Lineage: Eukaryota; Metazoa; Chordata; Mammalia; Rodentia; Cricetidae. The record is from RefSeq and is a predicted model, not a curated record. The transcript is spliced from 3 exons.
ACUGGAGUGACACAGUCAUAAGCAGAGAUCUCCGCAGACCGACGUCAGUUCUAGAAGCUUGAGAGAAAGGAAGCGCAGAGCCUUUCAGAAGGAGCAGCCCUGCUGCCCAUACGGACUUGGGACUUCCUGCCCUGGAACUGUCAGACGGUUACAUUCUCCGUGUCUCCAGCCACGCAGCUUGUGGCCGCACACACGCCUGGACACAAACCAUGGAAGGGUUAAACGACCUGCCCACGCACCCAGCCAACGCCUGCGUGCCAGGCACUGUGCCAGGGCGCUGCAUGCUGACCACUGCCUUGACGGCUUCUCUGAAGUUCCAGAAUCAGUUCCACCGCACCGAGAAGGAAGCCAGGGCUCAGAAAGACAUUGCCUCCUAGGAUUAUAGUCCUCAGUUCUGCUCCCUCCCCCGGCCAAUUGCCCUUUCUGCAUGCUGUGGUUUCUCUAAUUGGCACAGAACAGCCCAGGAUAGCCAAGACGGUGCCAGGAGACCAGCAGGAGGGAGCUAUCGUUAUGGUGACACUUUCCACCCUGGACUUUAGCCAGCCACUGUGGGUGGGCGAGCCAGACCUCGGAGCGGCAAGGCUUCUGCAAGGGGGUGAUGCCUGCGGGAGGCUCCACCAGACGCAUGCCCUGGACCUUGGACUUCUCAGACUCAAGAACUAUAAAGGGGAAAAAAGGAUCUAUAACUUAGCCAGCCUCAGGUAAGUCUUAGUGCAGACUCCUGCACUGAGACAUCGUGGACCAAGAGGAUGGUGGAAGAACCAGAGCUGGGUACUUGGAGCCAGAGGAGCAGGUGUGGACAGGAGAAGAUGCUGGGCGCUGGCAUACAGCAGUGCUGACCUGGAACCUCCCGACACUGUCGGCUCAGUCCUCACCAACAGUCUCCUGGAGCAGCUUCUGUGACCCAGAUGAGCCGGCGAGGAGACGGAGACGUGGAGAAGAUAAGUAAGUCAGCAAAGCCUCGGUUAAGAAAGAGCCAAUGAGGUAGGACCAGAGUCCACGUUCGUCUUUGCCUGGCUGGACAGGUGGUGUCUCUGUGUGUCCCCAUGGCAAGGACACACAGACUGGGUGUCUUUAAAAAUAGAAGUUUACUUUCUCACGGCUCUGGAGGCUGGAGUCGAAGGUCAGGUCAAGGUGUUGGCAAGCUUCAUCUCCCCUGGGUUUACAACCACAGAACCUGCCUUUGCUGAAUGGAAACCCGUGGUGUCUGUCUACACGUGGUUUCUUCUUAAAAGGACACUUGUCAUAUUAGAGUAGGAUCCACCCUGAAGGCCUCACUGUGAUGUUUAAAUACAUCUUUGAAGACACUAACUCUAAAUUCAGUCACAUCCCGGUCUCCAGGGUUAGGGCUGUCACCUAUGAGCACUGAGAGACACAGCUGAGACCACAUCAGAAGGGAAGCCCACUUGGGGCUUGUGGCAGAGCUAGGGGGGCUUCGGCUGUGUUUCGGAUGGUCUCGGUGGCAGCUGAGUGUAGGUUGGAAGGAGGUGACAGUCCUCCAGUAUAGCUGCACCCUGGAGCCACUCAAGGAGCUUGGGAACUGCCAGGUCCCUGCUGUACUCAACGCCGACUGUGUCUUAACUCUCAAGGAAGACAUGUGGCCAUCAUUAAGGCUCUGAGCGGUUCCCAGGUCAGGCAGAGAGAACUUUCCACUCUGGAGAGAAAAGAUGGUCUGAAAGCCAAGUAUGGCAAGAACACUCUCUUGACAGAUGGGACAGUCCAGAAAGGUGUGGCUAUGCCUACUAUCAGAAAUGCUCCCUGUGUUCCCAGGGAGCCAACAUCUUUCCUAUAGCACUUCCUGUAACGUCUAUGUAAUGACGAGCUUGGCCUUGAAGUGCAGGCUCUCAAGGGCUGCAGCAGGGUCAAGGCAACGAGUCUUCUCCAUACAGUGGCCCCUGGGGCUGGAGAGAGGGCUCUGCAGUUGAGUGUUUGCUGCCUGCAUAGUAAGUCUGGUUCCUAGCACUCCCCUUCAGUGGCUCACCAACACCUGUAACUCCAGCUCCAGGGGACCCAACAUGGCCUUCUGACCUCCAUAGGUACCAUUCUGUCACACACACACACACACACACACACACACACACACACACACUAGAAAUGAAUCUAAAUAAAAGACCCUUGGCUGACCAGCCAACCAAAGACUCUGGAGGUUGUGUGUGUGUGGGGGUACUUCCCAACCCCAAAGCGAUGGCUUCAGAAGGGCCUGGCAAUACCCUGGUCCCCGACAAACCGACCCCCAGUGGAACACAGACACCUCCAACCUAAGAUAUUUCCUGGCCAUUUCAGCACCGCAGGGUCCAACCAGGUGCUUCUGUGAGGCCAGCACACUCACAGAGGAGACUAGAUACCAGUAGUAGUAAGUAUGUAGACCAGUCAAGUGAUUACGAAAACGAAGAAUGCUUCCUGCUUUCGGGCCUUUCCAUGGAAAACAUCUAGGCUAGCGUCCCCAGUACAGGCUUUGCGCUGGGUACUCACCAUCCACAGUGAAGAGAAUGGAGAAGAAGAUGGUACACUGACGGCCCAGUAGCGAAGGGGAGACUACGCUAGUAGAACAAGGGAAUGAAACAAGGCAAAUGCGGACUGCCACCAACACCCGACACUGCCCCCACAGUCCCCAAGAGUGAGGGCCCCUGGGAAAUAUGCGAGUGUGUGUGUGUGUGUGUGUGUGUGUGUGUGUGUGUGUGUGU